This 301-nucleotide ribosomal RNA is filed under the name uncultured bacterium. RNAcentral's name for it is "partial 16S ribosomal RNA". It matches the Rfam family "Bacterial small subunit ribosomal RNA", at positions 509 to 809 of the family's 1533-position model. The record is from RNAcentral.
CAGUAGCCGCGGUAAAACGUAGGUGGCAAGCGUUGUCCGGAAUUAUUGGGCGUAUAGCGCGCGCAGGCGGAUAGGUCAGUCUGUCUUAAAAGUUCGGGGCUUAACCCCGUGAUGGGAUGGAAACUGCCAAUCUAGAGUAUCGGAGAGGAAAGUGGAAUUCCUAGUGUAGCGGUGAAAUGCGUAGAUAUUAGGAAGAACACCAGUGGCGAAGGCGACUUUCUGGACGAAAACUGACGCUGAGGCGCGAAAGCCAGGGGAGCGAACGGGAUUAGAUACCCCUGUAGUCCCUGUCUCUUAUACA